UACGGAGGAUGCGAGCGUUAUCCGGAUUUAUUGGGUUUAAAGGGUGCGUAGGCGGAGUGCCAAGUCAGCGGUAAAAAUUCGGGGCUCAACCCCGUCGUGCCGUUGAAACUGGCGCCCUUGAGUGGGCGAGAAGUAUGCGGAAUGCGUGGUGUAGCGGUGAAAUGCAUAGAUAUCACGCAGAACCCCGAUUGCGAAGGCAGCAUACCGGCGCCCGACUGACGCUGAAGCACGAGAGCGUGGGUAUCGAACAGG
RNAcentral lists this ribosomal RNA (252 nucleotides) under uncultured bacterium. RNAcentral's name for it is "partial 16S ribosomal RNA". It matches the Rfam family "Bacterial small subunit ribosomal RNA", at positions 524 to 776 of the family's 1533-position model. The record is from RNAcentral.